AGGGGUGUCGCCAAGCGGUAAGGCAGCGGAUUCUGAUUCCGCCAUUCGGGGGUUCAAAUCCUCCCACCCCUGCCA
Molecule: transfer RNA, 75 nt
Filed under: Burkholderiaceae bacterium
Lineage: Bacteria; Pseudomonadati; Pseudomonadota; Betaproteobacteria; Burkholderiales; Burkholderiaceae
Also listed under: 1 other name
Description: tRNA-Gln
Rfam family: tRNA
About the family: Transfer RNA (tRNA) molecules are approximately 80 nucleotides in length. Their secondary structure includes four short double-helical elements and three loops (D, anti-codon, and T loops).
Source: RNAcentral